Molecule: ribosomal RNA, 407 nt
Filed under: Verrucomicrobiota bacterium
Lineage: Bacteria; Pseudomonadati; Verrucomicrobiota
Also listed under: 1 other name
Description: Verrucomicrobia bacterium partial 16S ribosomal RNA
Rfam family: Bacterial small subunit ribosomal RNA
Source: RNAcentral
UGGGGAAUAUUGGACAAUGGACCAAGAGUCUGAUCCAGCAAUUCUGUGUGCACGAUGAAGUUUUUCGGAAUGUAAAGUGCUUUCAGUUGGGAAGAAAGAAAUGACGGUACCAACAGAAGAAGUGACGGCUAAAUACGUGCCAGCAGCCGCGGUAAUACGUAUGUCACGAGCGUUAUCCGGAUUUAUUGGGCGUAAAGCGCGUCUAGGUGGUUAUGUAAGUCUGAUGUGAAAAUGCAGGGCUCAACUCUGUAUUGCGUUGGAAACUGUAUAACUAGAGUACUGGAGAGGUAAGCGGAACUACAAGUGUAGAGGUGAAAUUCGUAGAUAUUUGUAGGAAUGCCGAUGGGGAAGCCAGCUUACUGGACAGAUACUGACGCUGAAGCGCGAAAGCGUGGGUAGCAAACAGG